Molecule: unclassified non-coding RNA, 332 nt
Organism: Spermophilus dauricus (Daurian ground squirrel)
Lineage: Eukaryota; Metazoa; Chordata; Mammalia; Rodentia; Sciuridae
Gene: 7SK
Rfam family: 7SK RNA
About the family: 7SK was discovered as an abundant small nuclear RNA in the mid-70s but a possible function has only recently been suggested. Two independent studies have found that 7SK RNA binds the CDK9/cyclin T complex (known as elongation factor P-TEFb).
Source: Ensembl
AGAUGUAAGAGUGAUCUGGCUACAACAUCUGCUACAACAUCUGUCACUCCAAAGAUUGCUAGAUUUGAUUUGGCUGAUCUGGCUGGCUAGGUAGGUGUCCCCUUCCUCCCUCACUGCUUCUUAUGUAUCCCUCCUGAAGCUGUGUGCCCAGUUGAAAAGGGGAACUGUCCCUAAUAGAGAAGGACGUUUUUCAGUGAAGGGUAUACAAAUAGCUCCCCCUGCCUCCUGCUAGAACUUCUAAAUAAGCUCUCAAGAAACCAAGAGGUCAGAGUAUGUGCUGGAUGAUCCAAAGAGAUGUUGAGUCCAUCAAGAAAGAUGAAAGAGAAUGGUCU